This is a long non-coding RNA of Zingiber officinale, 1055 nucleotides long. RefSeq lists it as uncharacterized. The transcript is spliced from 4 exons. Lineage: Eukaryota; Viridiplantae; Streptophyta; Magnoliopsida; Zingiberales; Zingiberaceae. The record is from RefSeq and is a predicted model, not a curated record.
AAAAACCCGAUCCAAUCCUUUUUCCUUUUUCCUUUCUCUUCCUCUUUCUCUCUCGCGCGAACGCCCGACGCCGACUCCUGCCCCGACGAUCGACGAUUCUCUUCUUCUUCUCUCGGUGUCGCUGGCGAGGAGCGGAUCUUGGAGCAUUGAGAGGAAGGGGUUAGCUAUAGCCGAACCCUCUUUCUCCCCAGCUUUUCUCUCCUCUCUGGUCUCAGUGAAUAGCAGCGACGGAUCUCCGAUCUGUUGAUUUUGCCUGCUGUCGGAAGGGAAUAGAGGGCACUAGCGUUGGAUCUGGCCAGUGUCGACCGAUUGGGUGAGGUAACAACCAUUGUCCUUUCUUGAACUCUUUCUCUGUUCGUCAGCAAGAACAAAUCGUGCCCUAGCCGUGAUUUUUUUGAGCAAUGCUUGCAUUUUAGGUUUCGACCACCAUAGCACUGUUGAAUCGCUUUCUUUGUCGAAUCUGUGAUCAACACCGGUGAUUGAAGAAGAAGAGGCGACCAUGUCAUCCUUGUGGGUGAGUGAGUCAUCGGGCUGCGCCGCACACUUCGCCACUCAUGGGUAGUGGUAGCUGGAGGAGAUAUCGUUUGUCCUGUCGUGUCGCACUCGACCACUCAUGGGUUGUGGUAGCUGGAGUUGCGAGCAGCAAGGACCCUUUUCCCUUUGUAGCUACUUAGCUACUUAGCUCCCGCCCAUUCGGUCACUCGAGAGUAGUGGCGGCCUUUGAGUGGUACAAUUGUCAUCGAUCCGACCUUUCGACCAUAUAGGGGUCGUGGUGCAGAGAGGUAGCAGGUAAAUGAUACAAGAGCGCUUGGAGGAUCCUGACUGCCAUCCCCAUGUCACAUAUGAGUACAGACUUUCAGGUUUUGUUGAGACUUUGUUUUCUUUGAUUUCAUAAAUUUGGUUCUGUAAUAAUUUUGAUGUGGACUUGGAACUUAGUCUUGUGAUUGUGUGCAUUUUGGUUUGUUCGUCUUGUGUCAAGACGGGUCGGCUCGCAUGUGGUUAUUUUAUGGUUUUGUGAUGAGUUGUUUUGUGAUUUCUGUUGUUCUUUUAUUUCA